This is a small nucleolar RNA of Nycticebus coucang (slow loris), 134 nucleotides long. RefSeq annotates it as small nucleolar RNA SNORA70. The record is from RefSeq and is a predicted model, not a curated record. The transcript has a single exon. NCBI's taxonomy places the organism in Eukaryota, Metazoa, Chordata, Mammalia, Primates, Lorisidae.
CCGAAGCAAUUAAGCCAACCAUGCUCCUUUCCUCAUGGGGGCCUAGUAUACAAUGACUGCAAACGGCAGCCUCCUUGAUAGUGUAUGCAGCUUGUUGCUUGUAUUGUUUGCUCUAAGGGACCUUGGAGACAUUC